RNAcentral lists this ribosomal RNA (301 nucleotides) under uncultured bacterium. Its description in RNAcentral is "partial 16S ribosomal RNA". It matches the Rfam family "Bacterial small subunit ribosomal RNA", at positions 509 to 807 of the family's 1533-position model. The record is from RNAcentral.
CAGUCGCCACGGUAAUACGAAGGGUGCAAGCGUUAAUCGGAAUUACUGGGCGUAAAGCGUGCGUAGGCGGUUUGUUAAGUCUGUUGUGAAAUCCCCGGGCUCAACCUGGGAAUGGCAAUGGAUACUGGCAAGCUAGAGUGUGUCAGAGGAUGGUGGAAUUCCCGGUGUAGCGGUGAAAUGCGUAGAUAUGCGGAGGAACACCGAUGGCGAAGGCAGCCCCCUGGGCCAACACUGACGCUCAUGCACGAAAGCGUGGGGAGCAAACAGGAUUAGAUACCCCCGUAGUCCCUGUCUCUUAUAC